UUGUUUUAUGAAAGUAGAGGUUAGCACUCCCCUUGACAAAGACAGAAGAUAGAAGCCUUUAAUUGUGGGUUGGGCCUGAAAAUAUGCAUAUGGUUAAGGCACUGCCACCUGCUUCGUGGAGUCCGACCAUCAUUAAAA
Molecule: small nuclear RNA, 138 nt
Organism: Callithrix jacchus (white-tufted-ear marmoset)
Lineage: Eukaryota; Metazoa; Chordata; Mammalia; Primates; Cebidae
Source: Ensembl